RNAcentral lists this transfer RNA (76 nucleotides) under Acanthosepion aculeatum. RNAcentral's name for it is "tRNA-Gly". Lineage: Eukaryota; Metazoa; Mollusca; Cephalopoda; Sepiida; Sepiidae. The record is from RNAcentral.
AUGUAUUUUGUUAGUAUAAUUAGUAUAUUUGUUUUCCAAACAAAAGGUUUAAAUUUAUUGUAAACAAAAUAUUAGU